Molecule: ribosomal RNA, 452 nt
Filed under: uncultured bacterium
Lineage: Bacteria
Description: bacterial SSU rRNA
Rfam family: Bacterial small subunit ribosomal RNA
Source: RNAcentral
UACGGGAGGCAGCAGUGGGGAAUAUUGCACAAUGGGCGCAAGCCUGAUGCAGCCAUGCCGCGUGUAUGAAGAAGGCCUUCGGGUUGUAAAGUACUUUCAGUCGUGAGGAAGGUGUUAAGGUUAAUAACCUUAGCAAUUGACGUUAGCGACAGAAGAAGCACCGGCUAACUCCGUGCCAGCAGCCGCGGUAAUACGGAGGGUGCGAGCGUUAAUCGGAAUUACUGGGCGUAAAGGGCACGCAGGCGGUUAAUUAAGUUGGAUGUGAAAUCCCCGGGCUUAACCUGGGAAUGGCAUUCAAGACUGGUUAGCUAGAGUCUUGUAGAGGGGGUAGAUUCCAUGUGUAGCGGUGAAAUGCGUAGAGAUGUGGAGGAAUACCGGUGGCGAAGGCGGCCCCUGGACAAAGACUGACGCUCAUGUGCGAAAGCGUGGGGAGCAAACAGGGAUUAGAUACC